AUGCUCAUAGAUCACAGUGUGAAUACUAACUUGCUGCACUCGGCUUGGCAGUGCUGCACGUUCCCUAAGGCCAGUUGCUCCCGAGUGAGUAGAAUGGCCUCACACUUCCAUGUUCAUAUCUGUUCCCAAAGUGGACAACAUCCUUGCCUUCCCUUCACUGGAAUACUGCCAUGGUAUCUGGAGAUUCACCAUCCAUCUUGUGGUCACAAAGACAAAACUCCCAAGCAAAGCAAGAAGAUAAAAAAAGCAUAGACACAUUAUGGUAAAGACAGCACUCCAGGGCCAGUCUGCUUCUUGAUUUAUUGUUGGGUGAAAAAAAGAAAAUGGAUCCUUUAUUUAAGCUGUUAUCAUGUGAAAUUUCUGCCAUUUUUAAUUACAUGCAACAGUGAUGCACCCCUUUUUCACAUUCCCCUUCGCAAGGCUGGUUCUGUAGCAGGAAAGCCUUCCUGGUGGUAUGGAGCCAGCACUGCUCUGAUCAGUGAGUGGCCGUAUCAUGCUGGUGUCUUCAUUAAGAUUUCAUAACUUUCUUAAACUUUAAAUAAAGUUUAACUUAAUUUUUUUAACUAAAAAAUG
This 573-nucleotide long non-coding RNA is filed under the name Ursus maritimus (polar bear). RNAcentral's name for it is "lncRNA (ENSUMAG00000020565.1)". The record is from RNAcentral. Lineage: Eukaryota; Metazoa; Chordata; Mammalia; Carnivora; Ursidae.